This 253-nucleotide ribosomal RNA is filed under the name uncultured archaeon. RNAcentral describes it as "partial 16S ribosomal RNA". It matches the Rfam family "Archaeal small subunit ribosomal RNA", at positions 474 to 727 of the family's 1478-position model. The record is from RNAcentral.
CACCCGCAGCUCGAGAGGUGGUCACUUUUAUUGAGCCUAAAGCGUUCGUCGCCGGGUUUGUAAAUCCUCAGACAAAUUCUCCUGCUUAACGGGAGAUACUCUGGAGAGACUGCGAAACUAGGGACCGGGUGAGGUUGAAGGUACUUCUGGGGUAGGGGUAAAAUCCUGUAAUCCUGGAAGGACGACCAGUGGCGAAGGCGUGCAGCUAGAACGGAUCCGACGGUGAGGAACGAGGGCUAGGGGAGCAAACCGG